This 136-nucleotide ribosomal RNA is filed under the name uncultured bacterium. RNAcentral describes it as "partial 16S ribosomal RNA". It matches the Rfam family "Bacterial small subunit ribosomal RNA", at positions 355 to 507 of the family's 1533-position model. The record is from RNAcentral.
UAACGAAUCUUCCGCAAUGCGCGAAAGCGUGACGGAGCAAUGCCGCGUGCAGGAUGAAGCCCCUCGGGGUGUAAACUGCUGUCAGGGGUUAGCAACACAAUGAGCAGCCCCAAAGGAAGAGACGACUAACUCUGUG